UCACCUGAAAUUUAAAUAUUUAGUUAUCACUUCUUUGAUAUUGUUCGACACAUUCAAGGCAUCCUUUUUUUAUGAACUGAUUUGAUUGACGUCUGGAAUUCUGGAUUUGAUAAAAAAAAAGCAUUAUUUCAAUCCAGAUUGAUUUAAUCUUUUAUGUUGUUUGUUCCUCCAGUUCAUGAAAGAUUAGAUUUGAUCAGAUUUUCAUGUGUCAUAUCCUAACAGGUGUGAAGCAUUUUCAACGUACCCUCGAACCUAUGAUUUACUCCAUGCAUGGACUGUCUUCUCCGACCUAGAAAAGAAGCUUGAUUCCCCCUCCACCUGGAUACAAGGUGAAAAUCCAUUGAGCAUAGAUGUGAUCCUCAGCAUAUCCUUGUGUACAUUUAUCUGAUUUUAGUAACAUUGAUUGUUUCUCUGAUGCUGCAGAUCCCUAUUAAGUGGCCACAAAGCAGAGAUGAGGUGUGGAAAGCAAAUAUCCCACAUACUCACCUUGCACAUGAGAAGUCUGAUCAGAAUUGGAUGGUUGUCAAAGGUGAAAAGAUAAACUUUCCUGGAGGAGGAACUCAUUUUCAUUACGGUGCUGAUAAGUACAUUGCAUCGAUUGCUAAUGUGAGGCUAAGUCUGACUCUACUAGUGUUUGCUAAAAAAAUAGAUGCAAUUAUGUAUUUUGUUUUUAGUAUUUGGAAUACCAUAGGAUUUUAGUAUUAUGUGUCUAUCUUUCUAGAUCUUUAUUUUUAUUAAAUGGCUCAGAGUAUCCCUAUAUGAAGAUUUGCUAUGAUUUCAUGGAGAAAUUAUAAUCUUACAUUCUAUUUUGCAUUGCCAGAUGCUCAACUUUUCAAACAAUAAUCUAAACAACGAAGGAAGGUUGCGGACAGUGCUUGAUGUUGGCUGUGGUGUUGCUAGUUUUGGAGCUUACCUCCUUUCAUCUGAUAUCAUUGCAAUGUCCUUGGCACCAAAUGAUGUGCAUCAAAAUCAAAUCCAGUUUGCCUUAGAAAGAGGAAUUCCUGCAUAUUUGGGUGUCCUGGGAACCAAGAGACUCCCUUACCCAAGCAGAUCUUUUGAACUUGCUCAUUGUUCUCGUUGUCGAAUUGAUUGGCUUCAAAGAGAUGGAAUACUACUACUUGAACUAGAUCGAUUGUUGAGGCCAGGAGGUUAUUUUGCAUACUCAUCUCCAGAAGCAUAUGCACAGGAUGAAGAGGAUCUAAGGAUAUGGAGAGAAAUGAGUGACCUUGUGGGACGCAUGUGUUGGAGAAUAGCUGCAAAAAGGAACCAAACUGUCAUUUGGCAGAAACCUUUGACAAACGAUUGCUAUAUGGAAAGAGAGCCUGGUACCCGCCCCCCUCUUUGUCAGUCUGAUAGUGACCCAGAUGCUGUGUGGGGAGUAAAUAUGGAAGCUUGUAUAACACCUUACAGUGAUCGUGAGUACCCUUUUCUCAAUGUUAGUUAUGGUUUUUGCAUUAUCUGACUUUGGUGAUUCUUUUUGGAGCUAUUUUAUGCCUGCUUCCUUAGUGGCAUGCAUUGUAUUUUUAUUCUAUGGUUUCUACUAUCCGUUCCAGCACGAAGAGUUAUUUCCCUAUAAUAUCUGCUUCGUUAUGUAGUAUGUGUCUCUCCAAGUUACAUUGAAUUGGCCUUAGAACUGAAUAUUGCAUUCUUUGCAAAGGAAUACCUCUUAGAAAACUGCUUUUGAACUGAGUGUGGUCGAGUAUUUGAGUAUGAAACUUGUUUGAUAUAGGCCUGUGUGUUGCAUUUACACUACUGAUUAGUUGUAGAAGCUCCCUAAUUUGCUUCAAAUUCAUGUCACCUGCGCACCAAGUUGCUAAAAUUUUGCUUAAAAUUUUAUUUUUGAUUUGUUUAAUUUUUAAUUAAAGAAUAUUUUUAUUUCCUUUAUCAGAUGACAACAGAGUUAAAGGUAGUGGAUUAGCUCCAUGGCCUGCAAGAUUGACUAGUCCUCCUCCUAGACUAGCUGACUUUGGCUAUUCAAGUGAUAUGUUUGAAAAGGACACGGUAAUUGAAAAUUACAAUUUUUCCGCUUCAUGAUGAUUGUGAUAUUUAUUCAUUCGUUGUAUACUGCGCAAUUCAUAAGCUUAAUAAACAAACUGUUGGGUUAAAUUUUGUCAUGUGGUACAGGAACUUUGGAAAAGGAGAGUAGAGAAAUACUGGAAUCUCUUGAAUCCUAAAAUCAAAUCAAACACACUGAGGAACAUAAUGGAUAUGAAAGCACACAUGGGUUCAUUUGGAGCUGCUCUUAGAGAUAAGAAUGUUUGGGUGAUGAACGUUGUACCCAAAGAUGGAUUAAACACACUCAAGCUCGUCUAUGAUAGAGGCCUCAUAGGCACUACCCAUGAUUGGUAUUGAAGCUCUUUCACCUGAAAUUUAAAUAUUUAGUUAUCACUUCUUUGAUAUUGUUCGACACAUUCAAGGCAUCCUUUUUUUAUGAACUGAUUUGAUUGACGUCUGGAAUUCUGGAUUUGAUAAAAAAAAAGCAUUAUUUCAAUCCAGAUUGAUUUAAUCUUUUAUGUUGUUUGUUCCUCCAGUUCAUGAAAGAUUAGAUUUGAUCAGAUUUUCAUGUGUCAUAUCCUAACAGGUGUGAAGCAUUUUCAACGUACCCUCGAACCUAUGAUUUACUCCAUGCAUGGACUGUCUUCUCCGACCUAGAAAAGAAAGAUUGCAGCCAGGAGGAUCUGUUGAUUGAGAUUGAUCGUAUCCUCAGACCAUCCGGUUACAUAAUCAUACGUGAUAAACAACCGGUGAUCGACUUUGUAAAGAAGUACCUAACCGCAUUGCACUGGGAAGCAGU
Molecule: long non-coding RNA, 2794 nt
Filed under: Arachis ipaensis
Lineage: Eukaryota; Viridiplantae; Streptophyta; Magnoliopsida; Fabales; Fabaceae
Description: long non-coding RNA (AIPA_LNC002255)
Source: RNAcentral